CGUUGGGCCAUAGCAUAUGACAGUUAUAGAUGAAAGUAUAAUAAGAUAGGAAUUGUUAUUGAGCUAAAGAUUUGUGUUAUCAGGCUCAAGUCUGCUACAUCAGUCUAUAGGGAGAUAGAACCGUCCGCAACAAAUUAGUGGAAGAAUUUCUAAGGCAAAACAACUCCAAAAGACAACUCUAAGGCAAUCAAUAUCCUAAGCAUAGGCUAAGGUCAAGAAUAAGUCACGAAUAAUGAUACAAAAGGGCAUAAAGUCACAAUAUAGCAUGAUAUAACAUCACAAAUAUGGUAGACAUGCAUAAUUACCAGAAAGUUACGCUAAGGCAGGAUUUCUAUCAACUAAACAUGAAACAAGCUAAGAGCCCUCCCAAAACUAGCUAAAAACAUGUAAACACUAACGCAAGCUCAAUCUAAGGUCGAUAAGUCGUAGCUUAUCUCGAAGCCAAUCG
RNAcentral lists this long non-coding RNA (448 nucleotides) under Solanum tuberosum (potato). RNAcentral describes it as "long non-coding RNA (STUB_LNC007020)". Lineage: Eukaryota; Viridiplantae; Streptophyta; Magnoliopsida; Solanales; Solanaceae. The record is from RNAcentral.